Long non-coding RNA from Lytechinus pictus (painted urchin), 12714 nucleotides. RefSeq lists it as uncharacterized. The record is from RefSeq and is a predicted model, not a curated record. NCBI's taxonomy places the organism in Eukaryota, Metazoa, Echinodermata, Echinoidea, Temnopleuroida, Toxopneustidae. The transcript has 2 exons.
UCUGCUAACUUUAGCAUGUAGUAACUCCAUUACGUUCGCUGCUACUAAAUUCUGUGUGAAAGGCAGACAAAUAAGGAGCAGCGAAAAGCUGGUGCAUGUGAUAUGCCCAACGGGAAUCCACUGUGCACCAGGCCGGUAGGCCCGGCUAGCUUUGCGAGGCGUGUGCGCUCGCGGCCGCUGGAUUUGUCGAGUCGUGCGGUGGAAUAUCGGUGUGUGAUUUCGGCGUAUUGAUGGGUUGAUAUUGACACGAAAUGGCGGAAAAUCAACAAAAGAAGACCAAGAAAUGGUCUCAGAAGUAUAAGACUGAAUACAGUCUCCAGUAUCCGUGUAUUUGGAAGUCGGAAAGAGGAAUUUACCAUGCAUUUUGCACAAUUUGCAGCGUGGACAUUUCAGUUGAGCGCGGAGGUCGUGAUGAUAUUCGGAAGCAAGUUGGGAGCAAACGGCAUACGGACAUUGCGAAGAUGAGAUCUUCGAGCUCCACUAGUACCCUGUUGACUUAUGUCACCAAGCAAGGGACCAGCGAGGAGGAAGACGUUACUCGCGCUUUAAUAAUAAUAAAGAGGAUAAUUCCUCAUUAUUAUUGUUGAACAGGGCGAGAUAGACUUCCUCAGCGAUCAUCAAUCUAUGGAUAGUAAUUAGCCGAGGUACACGCUGCAUUCUCUAUGCUGCGCUCGAGUGCCAGCUACCGUAGCUGCAUGGAGCUGCCAAGCGAGGUGUUUAUCUCUGCAUACUUAAGAAUGCAGUUUACGAUCGAGGGAGAGUGGGCAUCCUUUCGUUUUGACCAUUCCACCGAAUCCCGCCACCAUGGCUUAAUAGCCAUCCUGCUCUGUUGAAUCAGAAGGAUCGAGGCAUUUUUAAACAGGGAAUAGGAAUUACCCAUUACCAAUGCAAUGUGGGGGUGAAUCGACCAUGAACUGAUUAACAUUUUUCUAUCUGCUCCGAUUCUCCACUGAUGAUGCUGUUUUGCUGGGGUUAGAAAGGGUUCUACUGCCCUAGACGGUUAUUUCAUCAGGUACUCUAUACAUCACCUACAUCAUACAUGUAUGUGCUGUGUACGCAUGUAACAUUGGAUAAAUUUAUUGCUACCCGUUGCCAUCACAUUCUACAUCUUGGAGGAUGGCGACUUUCAACCCGAGACAUGGAUCCUCACCUGAGGUAAGAUUAGCAAUGAUUAUUCAUUAUUAAAAGAAAUGAUAAAUUGAUGGUAAAUCAUAGAAAAUAAUAAUGAUGGUAAAGGUCCACUGUCAUAUUGAGCUAAAAAAUAGCUGUACAUGUGUAGAUCAGUUUUGAAAGAAUAGGUGCUUUGUCAAUCUUCCUACGGGUUAUGGCUAAUCUCCCAUUUUUCAUGCAAUUCCUCUCUGCAAGGACUUUGCCACAGAAACUGCUGCAUCGGUGUCUUUUGGUGACGGGAGGGACUGGUCGCAGUCGCGCUGCACUGUCCAUCGAAAUGAUCAUUUCACCUCAUAUAUGUGAAUAUAUAAUGAGCCCCGUAACUUAGCAACGGCCUCGGUGUGGUCUAGCCAUCACCCCCGUUAUAAACACACGUACAGUUGCCAAACCCUAUUGGCCGGACAAGUAGCGGUCGAGGACUUGCCCAAAGGCUAAGUUACUGGAAAUAUGGAUUUGAUUCCAAGACACUUCAACAUCACACAUUUUUAUAUGCUAUGAAACAUGAUACCAUGAAGGAGACAGUGAACAGGUUCAUACCGAACAUUUACAUGUAUGUCGUACUGUGCAGGCCUACAUGUACAUGUAUGAUACGUGUGUACAUUGUACGUGUAUGUACAUGUAACUGUAAUAAUACGUACAUGUAGGCUUACAAGACUCUAGGCAGCUCGAUCAUGACCACUAAAAUGUAUCCGUAGUCGGUAUACAUGUAUAUACCUUUAUUGGGCCUACCUGUACCGGUACAUGAUUUAUUCUCAUUCCUACAAUGCAAAAUUUCUAUUAAAGAUCCAGGGGUCUAUACUAUACUGUAAAUGAGUUAAAGGUCAACCCUGGCCAGGAAUCAAGGCCUACAGUAAUGAUCGUGUACAUAAAAAUUAUGAUACUGCAUAAAUAAUAGGCAGGAAAAGGAAGGGUGUUAUGUUUCAAUUAAGGAAGGAUGGAACACUAAGUUACCACAUGUGGAGGUAAAAACAGAGACAUUGAAUCUCUCGCAAAUCCCUUAAAAGCUGUACAUGUACAUGUACUACAAACAUUCCCAUGAAAUGGAUUAAAGACCCCAACUGGUGGACCCAAUUUUGAAGUUGACUAUCAUUUUACUGGCAAUCAAAAGCUUACAUGUACAAACUUAAAACACAGAAAUGAAAUGUUACAUGUAAGCCUAUUUUGACCACUAACCAGCUGAGUAUUUUGCUCAAGAAUAUGACGCCGUUCUCAUAUUUUUAAAACUAAUACUGGAAGUCGGUUCAGAAAACCAGAUUGGAAGAUCGCUUUGCUAGUGUCUCCCAUUUGAUCAGCCGAAAGUGGUUUCAAAACCACUUCAUGUAAAGUGGCCUUGUUGCUACAUGUACAUGUAUGGGAACGCUCUCAGUGCGGGUGACAUAUUUCGCAUGAAAUUCGAAACCGCAGUGUAGAAAUUCUACACACACUGUGUGGAGUAGCGCGCUCAAGAUGUGCGAAGAUCUCUUCCCAAAAAUGGUUGUGUCCUCACUUAGGCUAAAACCAGUUUAACGAGGGAAAGCGAUCUUGAAAACUACAUUGUGAGAUGGUUCUCCAAACUGGUUUGGAAGAUUGCUUCCAAGACCGCUUUGACCAUCCUCAUGCAUUAAACUAGUUUCCACUAAAGAAGUUUCCACUAUUAGUUUUAGGGCGGUAAUAAUUUAGAACAGGGUCUACAAUGUACAGUACAUACAUGUAUGUAUUUCCAAUUAUUGGACUUCGAAAUUAAGCUUUGUUGUGCUUUUUAUUAGUCUCAGAUCUGUGACAUCAUUCUGUUUUAAAAGCGUUGUCCUUCCAUAGGUUUGUAUAUUAAUAUGCAUUUCAUUUUCUUCACUUUUUUUCGUGCACUUGAACAGUUGAACGUAAAUUCAUGAGUACAUGUAAAGGUCUCCAUCUAUUUGAAUUUGAAAACUUAAUAAUCUUUACGUCAGUGCCAUUUUCCUCUGCAUAUUGAUAACAAUUGAAUUCAUAAUGUGGAAAUGAAGAAAUAAAUAAAGUGUCUUUUCUUCGUACCAAUAAACUUCAUCACAACCCUCCUGUCAAAGUGUUACAUCACUAAUUUAAGCUGUUUAAUAUUGAAGAAGCUCAAUAUACAUGUAGACUAUUGUAAAAACCCAGAGUUUUGAUGCUCAGCUCUCAAGCAACAUGUAGGCUUACAUGUACAAUGUAUGCAAUAAAGAAAACAAAUCACUGCUUAAAAUUGCAUAUUGACAACUUUAAAUCAAUAAUUUCAACUCAUCACCAAUAUAUCCAUCUAGUUAAUUAUGUACAUGUACAUGUAGCAUUAUAGGCCUGUUUCAUUUUGUAAAACAAUUUAGCAAAAAAGUAUAUUAUUUUUAAAAUGAAAAGAUAGCUUUAGAUUACCUUUUUAUACAGUAUGUAAUUCACCAAAAUUAUCUUAAAGAUAUGGAUGAAAUACACUGUACAGUACAUGAUUGCGCAACCAUAUUAUUUUCAAGGGGAUCAGUUUGAACUAGAAAUGUUGAGGCACGUCAGAUCAAUGAUUGUUUCUUUUUGCUGAAAAUUGGCUUGUAUGUCUGAUAACAAAAAAAAAACAUAGAUCACCAAGUUUGAUUUCAUGAAAUAUGCUCUUAUUAUUUUUCUGACUUUGUUGAAAACACCUUGGGACAAAUUAAAGUUAAAAAACAUGAUUGACCUAAAAACCACUCUUAAACUUUUGACUUUGAAUGUUGUUUGAAUUUCUAUAGAUCUACAAAGUUUGUAAUUUAUUAUUGAUGGAAUUCAAUGGGAGAUCAACCUUGUUCUACACCAGUGCACUCCUAGAAUAUUGCUGGGACCAUUAACCCUGGCUUCAACCCAUUAUAGACGAAUUCCUUUCAAAACUAUUUUUAUUUGAAGAUGUCUGUAGACCGUGACUAUUGUCUCUGAUAUGAUUAAUGAUGCAAACAAGAUGAUUAAGUAGUAUUUUUGUAGUAUGUCCAGUAAAAAACUAUGGGCCUGCAAAAAUUGAUCUGAAUAUACCCACAUUAUUGGCUAUUCUGAUUUUAUGAGAUAUUAGAAUAUUUUCUAUUAUAUAUUUCAUUAAAAGUGAUAAAUCAAUAAUGACAAUGAAAUGAUAAUAUAAUGAUAACAUUGAUAAUAAUAAUUUCAUAUCAAAGUUUAAUAUGGGAACUAGUUUUCUGUUGGAUGUAGAGUAGUCUUGUCACCUGCCCUGUUUUUAACAGAGUAAUUGUUCCUUCUUGGUUCUCCCUAACAUUGAUUCCCCCAUACCUAAUCGUUCCGUGCAAGCCUUGCGUGUGACCUGCGGGUGACUACUUUUGCUACCCAUACAUGUACACUGUAGGUCGCACGCAGGCCAACCUCCAUGACCUUUGAGCUUUCUGGCAAAUUAAUAGUGAUGAAAAUAUAAAGAAUCAUGAUGAAAAUGAUUGAUUAUGAUAAAGGCUACAAUAUACGACAGUCAACAACAGCAACAAUGACAACAAUAACUAAAGUAGUAGUAGUAGUAGUAGUAGUAGUAGUAGUACUACUACUACAUGUGCUACUACUACUAAUACUACUACUACUACUACUACUACUACUACUACUACUACUACUACUACUACUACUACUACUACUACUACUACUACUACUGCUACUACUACUACUGCUACUACUGCUACUGCUGCUACUGCUGCUACUACUGCUACUACUGCUACUACUACUACUACUACUACUGCUACUAUUGCUACUGCUGCUGCUACUGCUGCUACUACUGCUACUACUGCUACUACUGCUACUGCUGCUACUGCUGCUACUGCUACUACUACUACUACUACUACUGCUGCUACUACUGUACUAUUGUACUUCUACUACUUCUACUGUUACUACUACUACUCCUCCUCCUCCCCCUACUACUACUACUACUACUACUACUUCAGGCCUAAUUACUGAAGCAAGGUAUGAGUUAUUCACCUCAUUAGGUUCAAGAAGUCUGCCUCUUUGUAUUUCAAGUUAUUCAUCACCAUCAGCAAAUAAAAUUACACCAAGAAAAGCCAAGCAAUAUCAUCAGUAUCCUCAAGUAGUUUCUAAAUGUUCCUUUUUUAUGGAACACAUUGUAGAUUUUGAGUGCAUCCAGAUUGACCUUAUUUUUAAGGGGUUAUUCACGGGGCAUUAAUAACACGUUUUGAAAUCUUCUUAUGAUCGAAGGAAAAAAGAAAAUUCUUUUCAAGCCAGCGACAAAGAAACUGUUACCAUUGUCUGUAAUUCAGCUUUUGAUCUAUCAUAGAAAAGAAGCUUAAAUAUUUAAGAUUGGAUUUAUUUGGGGGAGGCUCUCCAAAUGGACGACAUCGAGAGACAGGAUGUGUCUCGCUUUGCAGUCCACUUCCUUUCCGUCAGGACAAGGGUCUUCUGGUAGUACUACCCAACUAUUUAAGACAAGAAGUAGAAAUUAAUAUUAAAUAAGAACUUCCUGUGGUGCUGGCAUUCAUGACUCGUGAAGGAAGUUAAAAGGUCUCAAACAGUUGGAGUGGACUGUACUCAGAGGGUGUAUAAUUCAGGCUACUAUUUUCAUCAAUUGUUUUGUAAGGAGGAGAAACAUGUUUGCCGGUCCUUUAGCGCUAUGACAUGUGCUUUAGGCAUUAUUGAAUCAGCGCACUCCCACCAGUUGGGCCGAAACCCCCUUGCCACAUCAAUCAUCUAGGUGCACACAUUCCAAAGGUCGUUCAUUACGGGAGUCAAGGAAAGAAAAUAAAGGAGAACUUUGAGUCCGCCUCGAUCUGGAGACUCCUUUUAUUGUGUGUUUUGUCAAGAGACGGAAUGGGACGUGUGCUUGUUCAGUAGAAGUUCUCCUUCCUUGUUUUGAGGGAAGUUUGGAGUAUGAUGCAGGAUUCUUUGUGAUUUAUUCUUUGUGAGGGGGGUGGUGGUGAGGAGGAUGGCAUCCUCAACAAUACCGGUGUCUAGGUACCAAACUCUUCUCAGGAUUCAAUUUGGAACAUUAAUCCAGGCCAAGUCUGAUAGUGAUAGACAAGAUCAGAAUACAGUGCUAACAGUGUGCUAUCCAAAGGAAGAGAGGAAAGAAAGUAUCCAGGAGUCUAAACCAGUCUUUUACUUCAGGGUGAGCAAACCUCUCAAUAUUUACAUGUACAUGUAGACUGUAGAGUCAGUCUUAAAAGAGAUAAAACAUUUUGUCUCAAACAAGACUAUUAUUAACUCUUCUCUUUCAGGAUCAGCAAAAUCUCUGUCUACAGUCGGCCCCCUAUACAUUUGAGGCCAAUAUUAUAGUCAAACUCAAAGCUUGUCUAUUCUGAUGUUCUAAACUGGCUGAACAUACAGACAGAGAAAAUAUCUAACAUUUUUCCGAUAGGGGUGUAUUUCUCCCGCUUCUGUUACAAUUACAUACAUGUACCUUUUAUAUUGGAUUUAGACAAUACACCAGGGCUAUUUUGGACAUUUCAAGGACCAAAUUCCUUUUCAGCCCCAUUUAUUUUUCUUGCUGAUGCAGAUAUGCCAUUCAGCAGGGUAUGGCAGGGGACAACUGCAUGAGGGAUUCAAUAGAACACUCCUACAUGUAUAAUGGUGUAUACUGUGAGACCGCUACGCUUUCUUCUUCGCCAUGGUAACUUUCAGAAGUUACAACACUCAUCCCCUAUAUUUUGGGGGUACAGUAUCACAAAUUGUACAUGCAGUAUACUGCAUGUGAAUCUAAUCUAUAUCACACUUUCCUCACAGCCUACAUUAAAAAGGCCUAGCGAUCUCACAUUUUUGUCUUGCCUAAAUCUUGUUGCAUGGCUGCUGUCCUUGAACUUGCCACCUCCGAUAAAAUGGACUGAAUUUUAGAGUGAGAAAUGGAGGUGAGGUGGUGGGGGGGGGGGCAGAAAAAGUAAAAUACAGGGUAUGGAGUUAAACAAAGGUGUCUGUGUAGGCCUAUUUGGUUUUACAUUUUCAAAAUCGGUAGAGAAAAUAAUGUUGAAAGAAAAAAAAUCUGUUAUGUACAAAUUGUUGAUGUCACUAGAUUAUAAAUCUGAAAAUUUUAUUGACAUCCUGAAUGUGUAUAGAAUUAGUAUUGGUGUCUAUUUGUGCAGUGCAUACAAAUUGUAAUUUAAUUGCUGGUGUAUUGCGUAGUACUCUAUUGUUUACAUAGACUCGAACAGUAUCCGUAACUGGAAAAAAAAUGACUUUGGUUUAUACGUGUAGAGGAUGAUCAAAGUUCAUAGGCGAGCCUUUAAAAACAGACUUGCACGUAAACAUUGAGUAAUUUAAUUGGUUUCUGCAAACACUCGAGAUUAAAAUUGCCCUCUCCCUGUCUGAGUCAUGGCUUAAACCCGCAUUGAAGUGUCAACUUGGAUAAAUAUACAUCGUUCAUGAUGUACCAGUACCUGUCACAGUAUCUUUAUUAAAUGUUGUAGUUUGUACAUGUCAUGUAGGCUACAUACAUGUACUAUACGUACAUGUUUCAUUAACCUCACAUCGAAAUGUGUUCAUAAUGAUGAUUUUGGUUCAUGAAGUAGGCCUACCCGCGGGAAUAUAUAAAAUCGAUUGUUGUCAAUUCCAGUAUACAUGUACAUCUCCAGUGAUGAAAUAUAUCUGUACUUUAUGAAUCAUCAUUUUUUUUAUUAGGGUAGCGUUACAUGAAAGGAUGUGUCAUAUAUUACAGUCUCCAUAGUAACAGUGCUUCUAUAACCAAUCAAAAUCAAGGAAAGUUGUCAGAUCUGACUUCUUUCCUUGAUUUGCUGGGAGGCACUGUUACUGUGGUAACUUUCGGAUAAAAAGGGACUUGUCGGAUAAAACGUCUGACAGGUCCUUUCAUGAAAUGCUCCCCGGACACCCCAGACAUCUUGUCGGACAAAAAUGUUGAUGAAAUGCUCCCCAGGUUUAGUACAACGUUCUAUAGUUUACGUUCUAUGUUAAUGUACAUCUAGUCAUAAACUCUGACUUCCUUGUAUUCAAAAUUUCAAACCAACCAACUUCACCUUGCAUAAGUACUUGUACACCUUGAAUAUAAAGUACAUGUAGAUGUAUACAGGCCCGUUAAUACUGAGAGAUGAGUGGUAAAAGUAUUAUAAAUCACUUCUGGUUUUUAAAAGCACUUUGUAUUUAUAAUAUGUGCUUGCUUUUGCAUUGAUACAUUGUUAUGUACAGACAGCAUUCACUUUUGGUUUCCACAUUUCACAUUUUGAUGAAUAGCCUACAGUACAAUGUACUGUACAAUGUAGAUGAUAAUCAAUUGUCUUUACCACCUCUUUUGUGUACAGGAUUUGAAGAAAAGAAAGAAAUAAGAGAAAAAUGCUUUUUGAUUGUGUUUUCAUGUAGAAUUACCAUUAUCUGUGUGUAUUAAAAUUAUAGAAUUAAUACUCUGGGGGAACCAAAAGGGAUAAUGUAGUUUUCACAACUUCAUGUCUGAAGGUUGUACAUCGUACAUGUUCGUAAUGUACAUCAUGUGAUGUAAAUCAGUACAUGCCUACAUAUUUUCUGUUAAUAGUAAUAAAACAAAUAUGUUUCCAAAAUGAAAUCACAACUUCAUGUCUGAAGGUUGUAGGUUGUACAUUGUACAUGUUCGUAAUGUACAUCAUGUGAUGUAAAUCAGUAUAUGCCUACAUAUUUUCUGUUAAUAGUAAAAAAUGGAAUCAUGUUCACGUAAUGUACACAGCUAUCGGCUAGUCAUCAGAAUUUAUAAAGGGAAGGUUAUGCUUGAGUGUGGGGUAUAUGGGACUAGCACAGUAUUUGAAAUAAAUUGCAGGCUUUGUAUACCGGUAUGUUCGUUUUAUGUGUAAAACCAGACUGUAACAGUGGUGACCCCUAGGAUUUCAAAUGGAGGGGCUGUGGAUGACAAUCUCGAAAUACAGAGGAGGCGCGCACCCCUUGCACCUCCGCCCGGAUCUGCCACUGCUCUAAAUGCAUGAUGGGAAAAUUAAGUGGGAACACUCUUAAUAUCAUUUCAGUCUGGGGUUAUUUAUUUCGGUGAUGCAAACACGCUGUACUUGUGUGAGAGAGUAUAGGGAUCGUUGUUAAGCCGAGUACGAGACAGGCCUGGCCAAGCUAUUAGGGAAGAUGAGGUUCACAGAAAAUUCUAUAAAGGACAGUCAGAAAAAUAAUACAAAGGAAGUUCUGUCAUGAUACUCUAUGUCCUUCUUCACCUAUGAAAAGAAUUGGACGAAAAGAGAUGUUAUUGUUUCACACUGUAAACAAAUACAAUGUAAAAGCAGAGGGGUAUGAAACUAAAAUGUAUGUAUGUCCACUGUAUAAAGUAAAUGUAUACAGUAUGCCUACAUGUACAAUUGCACCAGUAUUCUACUUUGAAAAGAUUUCUAAACAAGAAGAAACUUUCCUUGAUUUGUUACCUUGAGAAUCCUCUUUAUCUAAGAAUGGAAGAAAAUAUUUUUUGUUACACACAAAUAAAUACAAUGUAGUGGUACUGUAUGAAAGCAGAAGGAUGACUCAAACAAUUACACCACUAUUGUAAUUUUAAUGGAUUUCCAAAUGAAGAAAAAUACCUUGAUUGGUACCUUGAAAAAUUAUUUUCAUAUUAUGUUUUUAAUAUUACGUUUAGAUACAUGUAUAUCAUACACAAACAAAUGCAAUGAAAGCAAAGGGGUACCACAAAAUAAGCCUGCACAUAACGCAGAUAAAUACAACUGUACACAGUAGGCCUACAUGUACAUGUAUAAUGACACCAAUAUUGUAAUAUUUGAAUAGAUUUUCAAACAAGAGGUAUACUGUACCUUGAAAACAAUCCACUUUAUAAAGGAAUGUCAUUGUUAAUACACGUACAAAUAAACAGAGGGGUAACACAAAAUAUGCCUGUAGACAUUAUAAUACAGCAGUCCUCCAAUGUUUAGAUUACAAAAGUAUUGUUAUUUUUAAUAGAUUUCCAAACAAGACAAGAAUUGCCCAAGAUUUGUUACCUUGAAAAAUCUUCUUCAUACAAGUAUUGGAAGAAAAGAUUUACCGGUAUUAUUGUUACACACAAAUGAAUACAAUACCAGUAUUAAAAAGGAGGGAUAAACAAAAAUGACAGAUACAUGUGAGUGUACAGUAGGUCUGCGGUUACACCAGUAUUAAAAGUUGAAUAGAAUUCCAAACAAGAAGAAAAUUACCUUGAGAGGUUUAACCUUGAAAAAUCCUCUUCAUAAUAGGAUGUUACUAGAUAAUGGACAAAUCUUUGUUAUUUAUGAAUGCAAUGUAGCCCAGGAUAACAAAAAAUAUGCCUACAUGUACAUGUAUGUCUAGUAGCCUUACAAUGUUUAGAUUACACCAGUAUUGUACUUUGAAUAGAUUUCUAAAUUUAAAUGUCUCGACUCAAUCUACCGUAUAUUCUGCAUCAUCACCUUGAAUAUUCUUUUCAGAGAAGGAUGUUUAAUAGCAAAUGGGUGAAUUCAAGGGAUUUUCUUAAGGUCAGAUAAAAGAGGAAUAACAAAUUAGAAAGGAUUAGAAAACUAGAUUUCCUGUAUAGUAUUAGCUAUCAACUACCAUUUAUGCAAUGUUAACUGUAUGAUGUGGGCCUGUGUAAGAAUUGGAAUUGAUCACUACAAAAGAAUCAUGAUUAUUAAUCUGUUUUCAGCACUCUCAUCUUGCUUAAUUUAACUUUUUUUUUUCACGAUCAAGUAUUUGUCUGAACACAGCAGAGCUAUACUGUAAACUUCACUUGAAUACUAAUGUGUUAGAUACAUGUAAGUAACAAAUCCAGGGAAUUACAAUACAUACAAAUUCCUAGCGUUUUUUACCAGGGUGCUCUCCUUUGUUCUUGAGUGUACAUUCAUGUGUCUUGCUUGCUUAUUAAAGUUUUAUAUAGUGUUUGAUUGGGUGACCUUGUCCCCAAGAAUUCAGGUCAAGGUUACAUUCCCUCAAUGUAGGCAUACACACAGCUUGCUGUUACCCAAUUUGUUUUCUUUGGAUUAUGUGGUUUUCACCCACCCCCCAGACAUAACACUGAUGUGUGCAUUGUUGUGUAUUGGGGAGGAGAGUGUGUGGGGAUCAUGUGCAUUGUGUGUAGGUAUUAAACACUGCUACAACAGUGUGUGUAUGGUUGGUAUUGUGUAACACAUGUACAUUGACUUGUGUACACUGUACACAAAGCAUGGUAGUAGUUGGGUCAUUCCAUGGGGUUGGGGCAAAAAUUGUGACAUCAGGGUCAAAAAAUAGAAAUGUAAUAAAUGAAAAGUUUUUUUUCUUAUAUGUUUCAUGGGACAAUUCUUCAACUAAAUCUACUUACAGGCAUUUCAUGCCACCCUGCAUAUUUGAGUAAAUUGCGAAACAAGAUUUGGCAAAAUACCACCGUUACACGGACAUCAUUUAUCAUCCUUACUUAGACUAUACUCUCCUACUGUCAAAAUAAAAGGGUUGAUCUCAAUUCCUCUUAAUAAAUAUUUUGCUAACAACAUUUUUAGUCAAUUUAUUCCACAUUUUCCAACAUGGCAUAUAUAUUUUGAAAGAUUUAGCAUCAAUAAAUGGAACUUGAUGCUCUGUGUGUAUACCAGUGCCAUGUUCUGUGUCGUUCUUUUUUCUCACCAGUCAAGAAAAUUCAAUUUAUGAUGGCAUGUAGAACUAAAUAGUUGACAGAAGUCAUGCCUCAACAGAAUGGAAUAUUCUUUUUGGAAAAACUCAACUACUCUUUCUGGCCUAACCUUCUAUUUUUGGUGUUACCACCGUUACAUGGACAUCAUGUCUCUGUAACAGAGGUAUAAUUUGAAGCAUUGUAAGUUAAGGUCCAUUAAUGGUCAUCACAUACCAAAUUACACUUUCUGCCUUCAAUUAUUUGCACAAGAUCAAUUGAUUAUAUUAGAAAAAAAACAUUUUGCAUGUCAAAUUAUUUGCAAAUAAAAGAAAUUUAAAUUAGAGUUUAAACAAAGAAAAAUUUACAAAAUUAUUGACAAAUUAUGUGUCGUUCUUUUUUCUCACCAGUCAAGAAAAUUCAAUUUAUGAUGGCAUGUAGAACUAAAUAGUUGAGAGAAGUCAUGCCUCAACAGAAUGGAAUAUUCUCUUUGGAAAAACUCAACUACUCUCUCUGGCCUAACCUUCUAUUUUUGUUUGGUGUUACCAUCGUUACAUGGACAUCAUGUCUCUGUAACAGAGGUAUAAUUUGAAGCAUUGUAAGUUAAGAUCCAUUAAUGGUCAUUACAUACCAAAUUACCCUUUCUGCCUUAGAAUAUUUGCACAAGUUCAAUUGAUUACACUAGAAGAAAAACAUUUUGCAUGUCAAAUUCUUUGCAAGUAAAAGCACUUUAAAUUAGAGUUUAAACAAGGAAAAAUGUACAAAAUUAUUCAAUAUUGACAUUUAAAAUCAUACUAAUCCUCAAGGUUCCACUUCCGUCUGUCUCUGGAAACAUUUAUGUUUCUUUCUAAAGGGGAAAAAACGAAACAGUGCUAUCUUACGAUCUCCAAAUCUUUUAUUACUUUGAAAUAUCUCCUUCAAGAUAUUACUUUCAAAUGUAGAUACCUCUGUUACACGGACAUCAUGUCCUUGUAAUGGUCAUAUUGAAUAGCAUUACUUGAAUAUUUGACAUAUUUUUCUAGUAUCAACACACUAAAUGCAAGUUAACUCAUCUUACUCAAGUGUAGAAAUACAACAUCUACAAGCAAGCUUCUGUAAUUCAUAUCAAUGAACAGGUAAAA